AUAGUUUAUAUAUUUAUAAAACUAACUGAUUGACAAAAACAAAAUACUGAAAGAAACAUGAUGUUCACAUCGCCCCCCCACGAAAACACCAAUAUAACAACACCUCGUUAACACGAAAAUAAAACCCUGUUUUAGAUCAUUAAUUAUGUUGUUAGCAAUCGUCUUAACCACCCUUUUUAGGUACCUUGUCGAUUGUGAUAUCUAAAGAUUAUCUUAA
This 217-nucleotide unclassified non-coding RNA is filed under the name Moritella viscosa. RNAcentral's name for it is "putative sRNA". Lineage: Bacteria; Pseudomonadati; Pseudomonadota; Gammaproteobacteria; Alteromonadales; Moritellaceae. The record is from RNAcentral.